UUCGGCGGGAAACGGGAACGGGACAGUUGCUUUCUUCAUUGAGUAAUCUAAAUAAUUAAUACGUAGUGGUGUUUUGUGGUUAAUGAUCGCAUUAAGUUAGUCGGAAGACAUUCGCGAGUGUUAUUAUAUUGGAGUAUUCAAUAAACAAAGUGUAUCUGCCUAUUUUCGCUUCGUACCGGGAAGCCGCUUCAUAACUCAAAAGUUUAUGCGGACUUUUGAGUUAAUUCGUUUGGGGUUCGGAGUAGGAGUCUACUCCGAGGGUGGGGGCUUAGGUUUCAUCAUCAUCAUCUUUCAUCAUUUCAUCAAUCAUCAAGAAAAAAAAUACGUAAGACAUGGCUACAUGGCUGUAUGGGCAUAGUUCCCGUUGCCUUACCCUUCGGGGAAAACCAAAACAAAAAAAAUAAUUAUGUAUGACAUUUACUUUUUUUAUAAUUUUUAUGUAAAGGUCUGAACUUAUUAUGCCUUCCUCUUCUGACCUCGUGGAUUUUUCAAUAUAUUUCUAUUAUUACUGAAUUAAAAAAUCUGAAAAAAUGUGUUUUGUGUAAAUCAUAGAAAUAUCUCGAAAUGGUUUUCGAUUUAAGGCACCUUAGUAAAAAUGAAAUGUUGUCAAUUAUAAAAACUACUCCAUAUUUAUAUACAAUGCAAUGUGUAGACAACACCUAACUGGUAAGCAUAUUUUGUAACUAAUGUGUAAAUAUUUAUCAGUGAUGCGUUUACUUACUUAUAAGCGACUUUUCUAAAAGAAAAUAAACGUUUUACGACUUAAUAAGUUUAUUAAA
This is a long non-coding RNA of Pectinophora gossypiella (pink bollworm), 779 nucleotides long. RefSeq lists it as uncharacterized. The transcript has 2 exons. The record is from RefSeq and is a predicted model, not a curated record. NCBI's taxonomy places the organism in Eukaryota, Metazoa, Arthropoda, Insecta, Lepidoptera, Gelechiidae.